GUUGAGAAACAUAUUGGCCAUGAUCAAAUGAUGAAGCAGACUCGAUGGGCUGAAAGGCCCAAUUCUGCCUCUAAUGGUUAUGGUCUUGUAAAUCAACCAUCCUGCCAACUGACCUAACUGAUCCUCUGCUGCAUUUGUGUGAAAGAACAGGAGAAUUUGUGUGUGGAAUCCAGAUACAUGUGCUGUGAUAUUGUAUUAUAAGUGAUCCCACUGGCAUUAUUUUGCAACCUCAACAGUCACAAAGCCAGUCAAAUAAUGUACUGAUUGUGACAUAUCUCAUUUGUAUGAAUUCUGCACAAGAAGCAGUUGGGAAUGUUAACCUUUCAGCACAGUAGUUGCGAAUUGACAGUCGUGAUAGCCAAUGCAUUAAAGACCCCUAAACUGUUAUUUAUUUUUAAAAGAUUUUCAUGACAUUGGGAAGAUUUAUAGUAUACAAACCCAUUCUUUAAAGCAAUAUAAUUUUAAUUGUUUGAAAAAUAAAUCCACAUGUCAUUUUAAGUUGCCAGUUUUGUAUAUGAGGGUGGUUAGGCAGCCAGGACUCUCCCAGUGAUGCUGUGCCUGAUCAAGGUGUGCAAGAGCAACUUCUGCAUAACUUCCCCUCUCUCUUCAUGUCCCAAUGUCACUUCUGCCUCAGAAUGAGGAGUUUUCUCGCCUUAAUGCAACUUUGGGCAGGCAUUGGAGAUUCGCCAUGAGGGACUAUUGCAGGCAGGCAGAUUGUAACUAUUCUGUAGGCCUUAAUAAGCUGGAAGUCCUACAGCGGCCUUCUAUUCCUGAUCCUUUUUAACCUUUUGUUAAAAUUCCUUUAUCUUACUGCUUAUUGCAAACUGAUUCAUAAAGUAAUGCAGUACUAAAGAAAAUGUACUUUCACCUUAUCUAUCCAGAUAGUGAUCUUGCAGGAAAUUAAUUAAAAUCAAUUCAGGUAUAGUACGCAUCAUACUUGUUAUAUAUUUAGUUUGCCAGGAGGCCUGUUGUAUAACACGUUCCUAAAGAUUUUUCUUUUAUCUAUAUUUUUUCUCUCUGGAGGCCUUUACUUACAAAAACUGUGAGACGCACUGUAUCAGGACUUUGCAUGCAGCUGUUCAAAGUACAAUGUGAUAUCAUUUCACGUUGUACAAUUUGUGUACAUAGACUAUUGAUUUGGUUAGUCAGUAAAAGACUGAGUUCUCAGAGCCCCUCAGACUUGCCAUGGUGCAGAUAAUUGGCAAUACAUUUUCCUCUUCUCCUGAGAUGUCUUUCUGAAUUAAAGAAGAUAGGCCUGGGUUUCCUGAUUCUGUCCAUAUCACAUUGUGAUUUUUUUUUAACCCAAACAUUGCUUCAUGAAUGAUGAAACCCCACAGAAAAGUAAAACAAGUUCUGUGGGAACAAACGGCAAUCGGCAACCUGUGUUACAACUGAACAUUGUACAGUACCUUUUUUAGUCUGUCAAAUUUGUGUUUAGUCAUUUUUCUUUUCACUCAUGGAAUGUGAGCAUCAUUAUCCAGGUCAGCAUUAUUGCCCAGAGAGCAGUUAAGAUCAACCACGUUGCUGUGGCUCUGGAGUUGCAUAUAGGCAAGGUUAGUAGAUUCGUUUCCCUAAAGGACAUUAGGGAACCAGAUGGGUUUUUAAAACAAUCAAUAAUGGUUGCACAGUUGCAUUAGGCUAACUUUUAUUCCUGAUCUUCUUGAAUUCAAAUUUCAUCAUCUGCCAUGGUAGGAUUUCAACACGUGUCCCUAGAAUGUGUGGAUUCCAGUGUCAUUACUACAACUUCACUGCUUCAUCCAUUUCUAAACAUUAAAUCUUUAACAAUUUAGAAUGUUUGUUCAUGAAGGUUCUGAGUUCGCCUUAAGGUUCAGUAGAAGAGAAUUGUUGGUGAACCAAGCCACUCAUGACACUCUUCUGCUGCACCUUUCAUUUUAAGAUCUAUUUUCUAUUAGCUAUUUGAAGUGUGAAUCUGAAUAAGUUGCAUGUAUGCGUUAUAAACCAAAUUUCAAACAAAUAUGCCCCAAAAAAAAAGAGAAAAUCAACUUAGAACAAGCCUACGAGUAAUAUGAAAAGUGAUACUAAAUGCUUCUUUAAAAAGUGUAAAAAUGAACGAGAAUGACUAAAGUGAAUGUAGGCCCCUUAAAGAAUGAGAUGGGGAAAUAAUAAUGGGGAACGAGGCAAAUGGCAUAAUUGAAUAAUUUCUUUGCAUCAGUCUCUACAGUAGAGGUGACAUUAGUAUUUCAAAAUGCUAAGUAAUCAAAGGGGUUGUGGUGGAGAGGGAGAAAAUAAACAUGAUAUCACUAGAGAUAAAGUGCCAUGGAAACUAAUGGGAGUUAAAGGAUGAUAAGUCCCCUGGACAUGAUGGGUUGUAUCCUAGGAAUUUAAAAGAAGUAGCUACAGAGGUGGAUGAUGCACUGGUGGUAAUCUUCCAAGAAUCCUUAGAUAUUGGAAAACUGCCAACACAGCAGUCUCUCUCAUUCAAAAAGCGAGGGUGACAGAAGUGAGUAUCUAUAGACCAGUUAGCUUAACAUUGGUCAUUGGGAACAUUUCAGAGUCUGUUCUAAAGGACGUAAAGCAGAGCAUUUAGAAAUACAUAAGAGGAUUGUGUGGAGUCAGCAUGACUUCAUGAAGGGGAAAUCAUGUCUGACAAACUUAUUGGAUUUCUUUGAGGAGGUAUAAAGCAGGAGAGAUAAGGGAGAACAGUAGAUGUAAUACAUUCGGAAUUCCAAAAGCCAUUUGAAAAUGACUGCAAAUAAGGCUACUUAGUAAGAUGAUCCAUGGUGUUGGCAGCAGUAUGUUAGCAUAGGUAGAGGAUUAGCUAACUAACAAAAGAAUAAGAGGAGACCUUAUGGAAAUAUAAGACUCUUCGGGGACUUGACAAAGUAGAUGUGGAGAAGUUGUUUCCUCUUUUGGGAGAUUCUAUGAUCAAAGGGCUUAAUCUCAGAACAAGGGGUCACCCAGUUAAAAUGGAUGAGGAAUGAUAUCGCUCAAGGAGGGAGUGAAUCUGUGAAAUUCUUUACUGUGGAGUGCUUUCAAAGCUCGGUUGUUAAGUAUAUCCAAGGCUGAGAUAGACAGUAAGGGAAUUGAAGUUUAUGGGAAUAAGGCAGGAAACUGGAGUUGAGGAUUAUCAGAUUAGCUGUUAUCUCAAUGAAUACCAGAGGAGACUCAGUGGGCUGAAAGGCCUAUUUCUGCUUCUACAUCUUAUGGUCUAAUUUUCUGAAUCAGAAACCAUUUUAGUUUGAAAUGUGCAGUUGCAGUAAUGGCUUGUGUGAUUUCUAAUCCAAGACAUUAUACAUUGUUUUGCAAGUGUAAUUUGUAUUGGGAGGAAUGUAUUCAUUGCAGUGACAGAUAUUCAAGGCAUCUUGGGUGCUAGGUGAAACUGCAAUUGAGAUGUAGUGCAAAGUGCAGUGGUAUAUAACAAAGACUUGGUUUCAGAACAUUUGAGAACCAAUUUCAAUGUUUAUAUUUGGGAGUAAUCACCACUCAUAAUAUGCAAUGGAUAAUGGCAGCUUUAAUUAUGUACUCAAGAUAGUGACAAAGCAGCAGCUACAACUGAACAGUUUAUUGUAUCUGGAAAUAGGACAGUUUUCACUGAGGUUAUCAUUGUGUUUGUGAUUGCCGUGAUGUUCUUGUAAUGAUCCAUUUUAUUCCAAGCACAAAUCUGACAAAUCUUGCUUCAGGAUUGAUAAAUGAGGAAGUGCGAUACCAUAAGGAGUCUACAAGAUCGUGCACUUUUAGAGGCUCACCAGCAGAGCAGAAAGGCGGAGCGUAUGCUAGCAGCAGGAAGGUAUGCUGAAGCAAUUGAUUGUCAUGGGAAGGCUGCAGAUCAUCUCGGAGAAGCCAUGAAACUAACAGAGUCAGAACAGGUACGUAAGGAAAUAUGAG
This is an RNA transcript of Rhincodon typus (whale shark), 3846 nucleotides long. It is a transcript of the gene named nuclear receptor binding factor 2b, with no coding region annotated. The transcript has 3 exons. The record is from RefSeq and is a predicted model, not a curated record. NCBI's taxonomy places the organism in Eukaryota, Metazoa, Chordata, Chondrichthyes, Orectolobiformes, Rhincodontidae.